AGUGGCAGACGGGUGAGUAACACGUGGGAACGUACCCUUUGGUUCGGGACAACUCUGGGAAACUGGAGCUAAUACCGGAUACGCCCUUUUGGGGAAAGGUUUACUGCCGAAGGAUCGGCCCGCGUCUGAUUAGCUAGUUGGUGGGGUAACGGCCUACCAAGGCGACGAUCAGUAGCUGGUCUGAGAGGAUGAUCAGCCACACUGGGACUGAGACACGGCCCAGACUCCUACGGAAGGCAGCAGUGGGGAAUAUUGGACAAUGGGCGCAAGCCUGAUCCAGCCAUGCCGCGUGAGUGAUGAAGGCCUUAGGGUUGUAAAGCUCUUUUAUCCGGGACGAUAAUGACGGUACCGGAGGAAUAAGCCCCGGCUAACUUCGUGCCAGCAGCCGCGGUAAUACGAAGGGGGCUAGCGUUGCUCGGAAUCACUGGGCGUAAAGGGCGCGUAGGCGGCGUUUUAAGUCGGGGGUGAAAGCCUGUGGCUCAACCACAGAAUGGCCUUCGAUACUGGGACGCUUGAGUCUGGUAGAGGUUGGUGGAACUGCGAGUGUAGAGGUGAAAUUCGUAGAUAUUCGCAAGAACACCGGUGGCGAAGGCGNCCAACUGGACC
This 606-nucleotide ribosomal RNA is filed under the name uncultured bacterium. Its description in RNAcentral is "bacterial SSU rRNA". It matches the Rfam family "Bacterial small subunit ribosomal RNA", at positions 94 to 735 of the family's 1533-position model. The record is from RNAcentral.